This 1197-nucleotide ribosomal RNA is filed under the name Agathobacter ruminis. RNAcentral's name for it is "partial 23S ribosomal RNA". It matches the Rfam family "Bacterial large subunit ribosomal RNA", at positions 1715 to 2925 of the family's 2925-position model. Lineage: Bacteria; Bacillati; Bacillota; Clostridia; Lachnospirales; Lachnospiraceae. The record is from RNAcentral.
CGGCAAAAUGACCCCGUAACUUCGGGAGAACGGGACCCUCGAAAGAGGCCGCAGAGAAAAGGCUCAAGCAACUGUUUAGCAAAAACACAGGACUAUGCGAAACCGAAAGGUGAAGUAUAUGGGCUGACGCCUGCCCGGUGCUGGAAGGUUAAGAGGAGAGGUUAGCUCACGCGAAGCUUUGAAUCGAAGCCCCAGUAAACGGCGGCCGUAACUAUAACGGUCCUAAGGUAGCGAAAUUCCUUGUCGGGUAAGUUCCGACCCGCACGAAAGGCGUAACGAUCUGGGCACUGUCUCAACGAGAGACUCGGUGAAAUUAUAGUACCUGUGAAGAUGCAGGUUACCCGCGACAGGACGGAAAGACCCCGUGGAGCUUUACUGUAGCCUGAUAUUGAAUUUUGGUACAGCUUGUACAGGAUAGGUAGGAGCCUUGGAAGCCGGAGCGCUAGCUUCGGUGGAGGCGUCGGUGGGAUACUACCCUGGCUGUAUUGAAAUUCUAACCCGCACCCCUGAUCGGGGUGGGAGACAGUGUCAGGUGGGCAGUUUGACUGGGGCGGUCGCCUCCUAAAGAGUAACGGAGGCGCCCAAAGGUUCCCUCAGAAUGGUUGGAAAUCAUUCGUAGAGUGUAAAGGCACAAGGGAGCUUGACUGCGAGACCUACAAGUCGAGCAGGGACGAAAGUCGGGCUUAGUGAUCCGGUGGUUCCGCAUGGAAGGGCCAUCGCUCAACGGAUAAAAGCUACCCCGGGGAUAACAGGCUUAUCUCCCCCAAGAGUCCACAUCGACGGGGAGGUUUGGCACCUCGAUGUCGGCUCAUCGCAUCCUGGGGCUGUAGUCGGUCCCAAGGGUUGGGCUGUUCGCCCAUUAAAGCGGUACGCGAGCUGGGUUCAGAACGUCGUGAGACAGUUCGGUCCCUAUCCGUCGUGGGCGCAGGAAAUUUGAGAGGAGCUGUCCUUAGUACGAGAGGACCGGGAUGGACGCACCGCUGGUGUACCAGUUGUCUUGCCAAAGGCAUCGCUGGGUAGCUAUGUGCGGAAGGGAUAAGUGCUGAAAGCAUCUAAGCAUGAAGCCCCCCUCAAGAUGAGAUUUCCCAUUACGCAAGUAAGUAAGAUCCCUCAAAGACGAUGAGGUAGAUAGGUUCGAGGUGGAAGUGUGGUGACACAUGGAGCUGACGAAUACUAAUCGAUCGAGGACUUAACCUA